Transfer RNA from Botryobasidium botryosum FD-172 SS1, 73 nucleotides. It matches the Rfam family "tRNA". From Rfam's summary of the family: Transfer RNA (tRNA) molecules are approximately 80 nucleotides in length. The record is from Rfam. Lineage: Eukaryota; Fungi; Basidiomycota; Agaricomycetes; Cantharellales; Botryobasidiaceae.
GGGCAUAUGGCUCAGUUGGUAGAGCGCCCGCUUAGCAUGCGGGAGGUCUUGGGUUCGAAUCCCAAUUUGUCCA